UACGUAGGGGGCAAGCGUUGCCCGGAAUCAUUGGGCGUAAAGCGCGUGUAGGCGGUUCGGUAAGUCUGCUGUGAAAGUCCAGGGCUCAACCCUGGGAAGCCGGUGGAUACUGUCGGACUAGAGUACGGAAGAGGCGAGUGGAAUUCCCGGUGUAGCGGUGAAAUGCGCAGAUAUCGGGAGGAACACCAAUUGCGAAGGCAGCUCGCUGGGACGUCACUGACGCUGAGACGCGAAAGCGUGGGGAGCAAACAGG
This 253-nucleotide ribosomal RNA is filed under the name uncultured bacterium. RNAcentral describes it as "partial 16S ribosomal RNA". It matches the Rfam family "Bacterial small subunit ribosomal RNA", at positions 524 to 776 of the family's 1533-position model. The record is from RNAcentral.